RNAcentral lists this ribosomal RNA (301 nucleotides) under uncultured bacterium. RNAcentral describes it as "partial 16S ribosomal RNA". It matches the Rfam family "Bacterial small subunit ribosomal RNA", at positions 509 to 807 of the family's 1533-position model. The record is from RNAcentral.
CAGUCGCCGCGGGAAUACGAAGGGGGCUAGCGUUGUUCGGAAUUACUGGGCGUAAAGCGCACGUAGGCGGAUCGAUCAGUCAGGGGUGAAAUCCCAGAGCUCAACUCUGGAACUGCCUCUGAUACUGUCGAUCUGGAGUAUGGAAGAGGUGAGUGGAAUUCCGAGUGUAGAGGUGAAAUUCGUAGAUAUUCGGAGGAACACCAGUGACGAAGGCGGCUCACUGGUCCAUUACUGACGCUGAGGUGCGAAAGCGUGGGGAGCAGACAGGAUUAGAUACCCCAGUAGUCCCUGUCUCUUAUAC